AGAGUUUGAUCCUGGCUCAGGAUGAACGCUGGCGGCGUGCCUAAUACAUGCAAGUCGAGCGAACGGACGAGAAGCUUGCUUCUCUGAUGUUAGCGGCGGACGGGUGAGUAACACGUGGAUAACCUACCUAUAAGACUGGGAUAACUUCGGGAAACCGGAGCUAAUACCGGAUAAUAUUUUGAACCGCAUGGUUCAAAAGUGAAAGACGGUCUUGCUGUCACUUAUAGAUGGAUCCGCGCUGCAUUAGCUAGUUGGUAAGGUAACGGCUUACCAAGGCAACGAUGCAUAGCCGACCUGAGAGGGUGAUCGGCCACACUGGAACUGAGACACGGUCCAGACUCCUACGGGAGGCAGCAGUAGGGAAUCUUCCGCAAUGGGCGAAAGCCUGACGGAGCAACGCCGCGUGAGUGAUGAAGGUCUUCGGAUCGUAAAACUCUGUUAUUAGGGAAGAACAUAUGUGUAAGUAACUGUGCACAUCUUGACGGUACCUAAUCAGAAAGCCACGGCUAACUACGUGCCAGCAGCCGCGGUAAUACGUAGGUGGCAAGCGUUAUCCGGAAUUAUUGGGCGUAAAGCGCGCGUAGGCGGUUUUUUAAGUCUGAUGUGAAAGCCCACGGCUCAACCGUGGAGGGUCAUUGGAAACUGGAAAACUUGAGUGCAGAAGAGGAAAGUGGAAUUCCAUGUGUAGCGGUGAAAUGCGCAGAGAUAUGGAGGAACACCAGUGGCGAAGGCGACUUUCUGGUCUGUAACUGACGCUGAUGUGCGAAAGCGUGGGGAUCAAACAGGAUUAGAUACCCUGGUAGUCCACGCCGUAAACGAUGAGUGCUAAGUGUUAGGGGGUUUCCGCCCCUUAGUGCUGCAGCUAACGCAUUAAGCACUCCGCCUGGGGAGUACGACCGCAAGGUUGAAACUCAAAGGAAUUGACGGGGACCCGCACAAGCGGUGGAGCAUGUGGUUUAAUUCGAAGCAACGCGAAGAACCUUACCAAAUCUUGACAUCCUUUGACAACUCUAGAGAUAGAGCCUUCCCCUUCGGGGGACAAAGUGACAGGUGGUGCAUGGUUGUCGUCAGCUCGUGUCGUGAGAUGUUGGGUUAAGUCCCGCAACGAGCGCAACCCUUAAGCUUAGUUGCCAUCAUUAAGUUGGGCACUCUAAGUUGACUGCCGGUGACAAACCGGAGGAAGGUGGGGAUGACGUCAAAUCAUCAUGCCCCUUAUGAUUUGGGCUACACACGUGCUACAAUGGACAAUACAAAGGGCAGCGAAACCGCGAGGUCAAGCAAAUCCCAUAAAGUUGUUCUCAGUUCGGAUUGUAGUCUGCAACUCGACUACAUGAAGCUGGAAUCGCUAGUAAUCGUAGAUCAGCAUGCUACGGUGAAUACGUUCCCGGGUCUUGUACACACCGCCCGUCACACCACGAGAGUUUGUAACACCCGAAGCCGGUGGAGUAACCUUUUAGGAGCUAGCCGUCG
Molecule: ribosomal RNA, 1470 nt
Filed under: Staphylococcus aureus
Lineage: Bacteria; Bacillati; Bacillota; Bacilli; Caryophanales; Staphylococcaceae
Also listed under: 1 other name
Description: bacterial SSU rRNA
Rfam family: Bacterial small subunit ribosomal RNA
Source: RNAcentral